AGAGAGAGAGAGAGAGAGAACGUGCCAGAGAGGGACAGAGAAGAGAGCUAGAAAUAGAGAACAGAGACAGAAAGAGAGAGAAAAACAGGUAGAGAGGAAGAAAGGGAGGAAGGGAGAGAGAGAGUCAGUGAGACAGAGAAAAACAGAAGGAGGGGGAAAAAAAGAGACAGAGAGACAAGGAGAGAAAAAAAUACACAGAGACAGAGAAAGAGACUUUGGAGGGGAGAAGGCAUCCCCCCAGAGUAGAUCUACACGGAGUACCAAGCAUUAUGUUGAGUUUGUGUCUGUAGCCAGGAAGGGUUCCAGUUAGGCACAGAGUUCUCAAGUUUACGGAGAUAAAUGUCCCUGGAGCACCCCAUUAUAAAAGUUCUUGUGGCUUUGUGACCCCAGCAGAGGGUCUUUUUCUUCUUCAACUUUCUAUGGUCACUCUGGAAAGGUCUCACUCUCCUUUUAAGUAUAAACAACAUUCAUGAUGGGCAGCUAGCUGGUGUAAUGGACAGACUUAUCUACCUGAGUUCAAAUCUAGCCUCAGACACUUAGUAGCUGUUUAACCCUGUGUGAGCAUUUAAUCUCUGUCUUAGUUUCUUCAUCUGUAAAAUGGGGGUGAUAUGUUAUGAAGAUCAAAUGAAAGAAUCAUUGUUAAGCACUUAGCAUUUGCCACAUAGUAAGUGCUAAAUAAAUAGUAGUUCCCAUUAUUAUGUUAAAAUAAAGAUAUCAUUUUCCCCCAUACAGAACCUGAAAUCUGUUCAUAACCGCAAGUUAAGAAUCCUUGGUUAAAAGAUCUCUGAAGUCCUGGCUGAAAAAAUCCUGUGAUUGAAUUUAAUAAAUUCAAUUAAAUAGAUAAUAAUAAUUUAAUAGAUUUUGGUAAUUUCAAAAAGAGCUCUUCCUCAAUGGAUUUAACAAUCUCUCUGUUCCUCUCCCUGUCCCUUCCAAAGUCCCUAAGCCAGAGUUAUUCUCAAGUAAUAAAGUGGGUCCCUUCGCGAUCUGCCUCCUGGUGAGCCAUCCACCAACUGGCCAAUGAGCCUUUCUGGCACUGAGGAGUACCAUUGUUCUCUCUCCCUGUUUCCUUUCCAAAUUGAAAAUCCCCAAGCAAGAGGCAGCUAGGUGGCACAGUGGGUAGAGCACCAGCUCUGAAGUGAGGAGGAUCUGAGUUCUAAUCUGACCUCAGACACUUGGAACUUCCUGGCUGUGUGACCCUGGGCAAGUCACUUAACCCCAAUUGCCUCAGUGGAAAAAAAAAAAAAGAAAGAAAGAAAGAAAGAAAGAAAAAGAAAA
Molecule: long non-coding RNA, 1275 nt
Organism: Antechinus flavipes (yellow-footed antechinus)
Lineage: Eukaryota; Metazoa; Chordata; Mammalia; Dasyuromorphia; Dasyuridae
Exons: 2
Source: RefSeq, a predicted model, not a curated record